UCCAAGUCAAGUAAAAAAAAAAGGGGUUAAGUCAGAGUCUGGGGUUUGAGGUUGUGCACGGGAUGCUGGGAGUUGAGUGUAAAGGGUGGUGUAGCCGUGUACAGGUUGUGAUGUUUACCCUACCGCCGUGGCAGAAGAGGGGCAAGGUUGACAAUUCUUGGCUCUGGGAUCUUCAAUCCAGGAUCUAGAGGAUCUGAAGAGCACACGGCU
Long non-coding RNA from Sebastes umbrosus (honeycomb rockfish), 210 nucleotides. RefSeq lists it as uncharacterized. Lineage: Eukaryota; Metazoa; Chordata; Actinopteri; Perciformes; Sebastidae. The record is from RefSeq and is a predicted model, not a curated record. The transcript has 3 exons.